GGGCGAUCAAGGACACGACCACGGUCAGUCUCGCCAAGGUGAACAGCGACUACAAGGAAUUGGACAUCGCGAUUGUCAAGGCGACGAAUCAUGUGGAGAGACCGGCGAAGGAGAGACAUAUCAAAGCAAUAUUUUAUGCCAUUUCUGCAUCAAGGCCUCGGGCAGAUGUAGCGUACUGCAUUCAUGCUCUUGCCAGACGUCUAUCUAAGACACAUAAUUGGGCGGUGGCAUUAAAAACAUUAAUUGUCAUACAUCGAGCACUCAGGGAAGUGGACCCGAGCUUCCGUGAAGAACUCAUAAAUUAUGGGAGAAGUAGAACUCAUAUGCUUAAUGUCGCCCAUUUUAAGGAUGAUUCUAGUGCAAAUGCAUGGGAUUAUUCAGCAUGGGUGCGUACAUAUGCUUUAUAUUUGGAGGAGAGGCUUGAAUGUUUUCGUGUUCUCAAGUGUGAUGUCGAGUCAGCCCCUCCGAGAACCCGGGAUCUUGACACUAUGGAAUUGCUUGAACAAUUGCCAGCAUUGCAACAACUUCUUUUUCGUCUGCUUGCUUGCCAGCCCCAAGGAGCAGCGGUUUACAAUUUUGUAAUUCAAUUGGCACUUACAAUGGUUGCGGGAGAGAGU
RNAcentral lists this unclassified non-coding RNA (617 nucleotides) under Hevea brasiliensis (rubber tree). Lineage: Eukaryota; Viridiplantae; Streptophyta; Magnoliopsida; Malpighiales; Euphorbiaceae. The record is from RNAcentral.